CUAUUUGGUUUUUUAUUUACAAUGAUUUACCCAGCAUCUAUUAUAAGUCAGGUACUAUGUCUGUCUGAGGGAUUAAAAAGUCAAAUACAGCAGGGUGGCUGCCCUUAGGGAUUUCACAGCUUAAAGGGGGAUAUAUCCGUGUCAGUAUCUGAUGAUGACACAGCAUGACAAAUACCCAAAUGCUACGGGAAUCCAGAGGACAAACCCUCAGUCCUUCCUGGAAGAGGUGACAACUGAGUUGAUUCUCGGUGGACAAAUAAGAGCUGGGGGUGGGGCCCAGCCCAACAGAAAGAACAGCAUGUCCAAGGGCUCUUCUGGAGAGCAGGGAACAUUCUUGGAACACCAGGAGUUCAACAUGACUCUGGAAAGGAGCAUGAGUUCGGGCGGGGCCGAGAUGCAGCCAGAGAGGGACGCAGAAAUGGAUGAUGCCUGUAUCUGCCCUGGCUACCUGCACCUGAUUUUGAAGCCUGUAAGGACAUAUGUGAUGCAAUGGAACCCAUUUGCUGUUCCCUCGGGACCCCCUUAUACCUGGAUUCUGGAUGCUGUGGAAAUUCAGGAGCUCUUCUGUACAGAACCACCCUAAAACAUAGAGACUUGCAACAAAAUGAUUCAUUACUUCUCUCCACCUGUGGAUUGACCAGGCUGUCCUUCCAGACCAUCGCAGAGUUGAAAGAAGUCAUCCUAUUUUUAAAGACCUCCAAAGGAGAUUCCACUGUCUUCCUUCACAUCCUGUCCUCUCAAGGCUGUCAAGUUCUCUCUGAGCGCUAACUAAAUUUAAGUGCAGAAGCUAUGGCCACCCAGCCGUGGGAGCCAGAGGAAACGUCCACCAGCUCCGGCAUAAUCUUCUUCAAGUGGAGUUCCUGCCUUGGCACAGUGGGUUGAGAACACAUUGUUGUCUCUGCUGAGGCACGGGUUUGAUCCCUGGCCCAGGAACUUCCAUAGGCCAAGGGUGAGGCCAAAA
Sus scrofa (pig) is the source of this 961-nucleotide long non-coding RNA. RefSeq lists it as uncharacterized. NCBI's taxonomy places the organism in Eukaryota, Metazoa, Chordata, Mammalia, Artiodactyla, Suidae. The record is from RefSeq and is a predicted model, not a curated record.